Molecule: non-coding RNA, 72 nt
Organism: Aedes aegypti (yellow fever mosquito)
Lineage: Eukaryota; Metazoa; Arthropoda; Insecta; Diptera; Culicidae
Source: Rfam
GGCUCGGUAACUUAGUUGGUAAAUUGCUCGUCUAGCAUACAAGAGUCCUGGGUUCAAAUCCCAGCCAAGCAC